RNAcentral lists this ribosomal RNA (278 nucleotides) under uncultured bacterium. RNAcentral describes it as "partial 16S ribosomal RNA". It matches the Rfam family "Bacterial small subunit ribosomal RNA", at positions 29 to 334 of the family's 1533-position model. The record is from RNAcentral.
AACGAACGCUGGCGGCAGGCCUAACACAUGCAAGUCGAGCGCAUUCUUCGGGAUGAGCGGCGGACGGGUGAGUAACACGUGGGAAUAUGCCCUUCUCUACGGAAUAGUCCUGGGAAACUGGGGGUAAUACCGUAUACGCCCUUUUGGGGAAAGAUUUAUCGGAGAAGGAUUAGCCCGCGUUGGAUUAGGUAGUUGGUGGGGUAAUGGCCUACCAAGCCUACGAUCCAUAGCUGGUUUGAGAGGAUGAUCAGCCACACUGGGACUGAGACACGGCCCAG